ACGGCUCUUUCUUCAAUCGUGGAUCUCAUUUUUCGAAGGAAUAUUUCACUUGAAGUUGGCUGCUAUUCGGAAUACAAAAAAAUGACGCUGUCAGAUCUGUCAACAAUAUUUUUUUCUGUUGGUAAACUCGGAAUUAUUAUUAUUGAUAAAACAAAUUGGCUGUGUCCGAAUAAUAUUUGUGAUAUUAUUGACUAUCAAAACUGAGAUGCAGUAACAAAAUUACUUCACAGUAAUGAUUGCGAUCAACCAUUCGUCAACAAAUAUUUGGUAACUCAACGUAAACAACAAAUCGGAUGGUCAAAUCCUAGCAAAAUUGUGGGAAAACUUUAGUUCUAAAGUGGAUGUUUACAUCCUGGAAACGGUUGUGGAGUGAGUGUGACAA
Long non-coding RNA from Bradysia coprophila, 382 nucleotides. The record is from RefSeq and is a predicted model, not a curated record. Lineage: Eukaryota; Metazoa; Arthropoda; Insecta; Diptera; Sciaridae.